Molecule: microRNA precursor, 168 nt
Filed under: Oryza brachyantha (malo sina)
Lineage: Eukaryota; Viridiplantae; Streptophyta; Magnoliopsida; Poales; Poaceae
Description: MIR812 microRNA precursor family
Rfam family: MIR812 microRNA precursor family
Source: Rfam by way of RNAcentral
UACAAUGUUUCGACUCUUCAUUUUAUUUGAAAUUUUUUUGCGAUUAAUAUUUUUAUUGUUAUUAGAUAAUAAAAUAUGAAUAGUACUUUAUACGUGACUAACUUUUUUAAGUUUUUUAUAAAUUUUUCAAAUAAGACGAAUGGUCAAAUCAUUGGGCACAUAAAUUGA